Homo sapiens (human) is the source of this 903-nucleotide long non-coding RNA. RefSeq lists it as uncharacterized. NCBI's taxonomy places the organism in Eukaryota, Metazoa, Chordata, Mammalia, Primates, Hominidae. The record is from RefSeq and is a predicted model, not a curated record. The transcript has 2 exons.
GGGAGGGGCUGGAACGUCUGUCCGCGCAGCCGCCUCGUGGGCAGGUGCUCCUGGGGUGCCGCCCCGGCCCAGCCCUCCGGGGUCAACCCUUGCCAGGCCUGGGACCUGCCUCCUACCAGCGAGGAUCCCGCCGUAGAGAGCGCCCUUCCCGCACAUCAACGGCUCACAGGUGGCGGCCGAGCUGAGGGGUUACAAAACUAACACACCUAAUGGUGAAAUUGGCGAACACCUACAAGCUCCAACGGAAAAGUUCCGGUGGGGGGUGGUGGGGGGGCGGACGCCAGGUUUUCUACCUACAUUAACUGCUUGACUCAAGAAUUAUGAGAGCAGCUAAUUGCUCUUAUUACUUCCUUAGCCUGAAAAGUCCCUCCCUCUUCCCUCCACUGGUUCCCACUCAAUCUCCGGUUCAUCCUUAUAGUCCCAUCGCACACGCUGCCUCCAAAUGGCUUUUCUGACCUCUUGUUCCCUCCACGGCAACCGAGACACAUCCAGUCAAAACUUAGUCCCCUCCCCCGACUCUUUGGGGCUUCCCUUUAACAGUAGUGUUCUGAAAGGAGCCUGAGCUUUAGAACCUCGGUUAGGGACAAUGCCAGACUACACUAACUUUCUAGCGUUAAUGACAAGUUACCUAUCCUCCCUGAGCCUACCUGGAAUUUUUGGAAGGGUUGUUAAUAUAUGUGACUGCCCUGACAUAUUAAAACGUCCUGAAUAAUGUCAGCUUUAUUUCUCCUUGGACUUCCUUUAAGUACCCUGCACCAUAUUUUAAUAAUUUGUGUGCGUCUUAGUUCAGCUCAUACUCCCAGCUCCUUGAUGACAGAGACUCAUCAUAAGUCUUGCUCAUCUUGGCUUUACUAAAAUGACCAGCACAGAGCUCUGCACUCAAUAAACGCUUUUUGGAUUGAA